This 286-nucleotide unclassified non-coding RNA is filed under the name Hevea brasiliensis (rubber tree). Lineage: Eukaryota; Viridiplantae; Streptophyta; Magnoliopsida; Malpighiales; Euphorbiaceae. The record is from RNAcentral.
AGCACUAAAUCUAGCAUCCCUUGAUCCCAGAUGAAGUACUGCUACAAGUUGAUUCACCGAAAUAAGAGAUGCUUCAUAUCGGAUGAUUUCAGGAUUUUUGAACAGGAUUCUUAAUAGUUCAGAAAUAGAGGCCUCUGUGGAGUCUUUAGGACUCAAAGACAGAUAUUUUGUUAAAGCAUCCAGAGCUCCAGCUUCAGCCAUGAUUAAUUUAUUUGUAUCACUUCCCUUUGCAAGAAGGGUUAAGAGUUGAACAGAAAUUGUAGGGGCACCUGGCCUAUCAGGGAUA